RNAcentral lists this long non-coding RNA (988 nucleotides) under Gallus gallus (chicken). Its description in RNAcentral is "long non-coding RNA NONGGAT003168". Lineage: Eukaryota; Metazoa; Chordata; Aves; Galliformes; Phasianidae. The record is from RNAcentral.
GGGAGCGGCGGGCGGCACCUGUGCGGGAGGAGCGCCGCACUGCUCUCUGUGCGGGAGGGCGAGUCGUGGAGCCACGGAGCCCGGAUUGCUCCGCUGCAACGCCGCCGCGAAACGUUUAAUGGGAAAUCUCGCAGUUGUGUUAUUUGCUUUUUGUUAGGAGUUAACGCCCGCCGUAACCUGCACGUUACGUUUAAUCUCUUGGUUAAAUAAGGCAGUAAAAAUGUAACACUGCUGUGGUGUCCGGAAUUUACAGCACAGAACAGCCCGCGUGGGUCAGGCACGGCGGGCAGAGCGGGCGGCGCUGGGAACACGAGUGGAGCUUUGGCAGCAGAGCCGAAAGCGGCAUCCCUUCGUGUGCUGCCAGACCCGGGCAGCCGAUGAGGCCGAUCCCUGGGACAGCCGUCACGGCCCGAGGUCCCGCACGUGUCCCCUCCAUGCCGCCCCCAGGAGAGGGAGUGAGAUAUCCACUGCAGAAAGCACUGAUUUUGACGGACGUACGGGAAGGGGGGAGGGGCGGGCACCUUCCCGCAGGCAGCUCUGCGGCCGUACCCUCCAUCCCUGAGCCCUGGGCAGCUCCUCCCGACAGCCUCCAGCAGUGGCCAUAGGUCAGAUGCCCUUCAGCUGCUCCCUUUUACAACCGAUAUCCUUCACAUGUUUUGCAGGAGGAUAAUCGCAGCCUGACUUCUAUCCAUUCUGUUAUUUGUCCGUGCUAUUUAAACGCUCCUUCCCCACCCAGCGCAUUCACAGGGCACAUCCUGUCCUCCUCGGGUUGCCGGAUGCCCCGGGGCGGUCUGUGCGGCACUUGUUGUGGAGAGCAUGACUGCAUUAAACUACUACAAGGGCCAUAAAAAGCUGAGGGGGAGUUCAGGCAUCAAAUGUGUUUCCUGGAAGCCCGAGAACUGAAGUAAUCCACUGAGUGGCCUCCUGGCACUGAUACAAGAAAGGAGGGAAUUUCAUGUACAGCACUGACCUUUACGGAUCAAAUAUU